This 253-nucleotide ribosomal RNA is filed under the name uncultured bacterium. RNAcentral's name for it is "partial 16S ribosomal RNA". It matches the Rfam family "Bacterial small subunit ribosomal RNA", at positions 524 to 776 of the family's 1533-position model. The record is from RNAcentral.
UACGUAGGGUGCAAGCGUUGUCCGGAAUUAUUGGGCGUAAAGAGCGCGCAGGCGGUCGAUCAAGUCGCGUGUGAAAGCCCCCGGCUCAACUGGGGAGGGUCACGCGAUACUGAUCGACUCGAAGGCAGGAGAGGGUAGUGGAAUUCCCGGUGUAGUGGUGAAAUGCGUAGAUAUCGGGAGGAACACCAGUGGCGAAGGCGACUACCUGGCCUGUUCUUGACGCUGAGGCGCGAAAGCUAGGGUAGCAAACGGG